ACAAUUGGAUUAACAAGAAUUGGAAGGGACCUUGGAGGUCUCUAGUCCAACAUCCCUCCCUGCUCAGGUAGGAGAUCCUAUACU
Pseudonaja textilis is the source of this 84-nucleotide non-coding RNA. The record is from RefSeq and is a predicted model, not a curated record. NCBI's taxonomy places the organism in Eukaryota, Metazoa, Chordata, Lepidosauria, Squamata, Elapidae.